RNAcentral lists this ribosomal RNA (568 nucleotides) under uncultured bacterium. RNAcentral's name for it is "bacterial SSU rRNA". It matches the Rfam family "Bacterial small subunit ribosomal RNA", at positions 338 to 916 of the family's 1533-position model. The record is from RNAcentral.
CCUACGGGAGGCAGCAGUGGGGAAUAUUGGGCAAUGGAGGAAACUCUGACCCAGCGACGCCGCGUGCGGGAUGAAGGCCUUCGGGUUGUAAACCGCUUUCAGUAGGGAAGAAGCGAAAGUGACGGUACCUACAAAAGAAGCACCGGCUAACUACGUGCCAGCAGCCGCGGUAAUACAUAGGGUGCAAGCGUUGUCCGGAAUUAUUGGGCGUAAAGAGCUCGUAGGUCGUUUGUUACGUCGGAUGUGAAAACCUGAGGCUCAACCUCAGGCCUGCAUUCGAUACGGGCAAACUAGAGUUUGGUAGGGGAGACUGGAAUUCCUGGUGUAGCGGUGGAAUGCGCAGAUAUCAGGAGGAACACCAAUGGCGAAGGCAGGUCUCUGGGCCAAUACUGACACUGAGGAGCGAAAGUCUGGGGAGCGAACAGGAUUAGAUACCCUGGUAGUCCAGACCGUAAACGGUGGGCACUAGUUGUGGGAACCUUCCACGGUUUCUGCGACGCAGCUAACGCAUUAAGUGCCCCGCCUGGGGAGUACGAUCGCAAGAUUAAAACCUCAAAGGAAUUGACGG